Molecule: ribosomal RNA, 903 nt
Filed under: Pratylenchus coffeae
Lineage: Eukaryota; Metazoa; Nematoda; Chromadorea; Rhabditida; Pratylenchidae
Description: bacterial SSU rRNA
Rfam family: Eukaryotic small subunit ribosomal RNA
Source: RNAcentral
AUAAAGCCAUGCAUGUAUAAGUAUAAACGGCAUGAAGCGGGAAGCCGCGAUCGGCUCAUUACAACAGCUAUAAUUUACUUGAUCUUGACAUCCUACAUGGAUAACUGUGGUAAUUCUAGAGCUAAUACAUGCACCAAAGCUCCAACCCGCAAGGGAAGAGCGCAUUUAUUAGAACAAAACCAAGCGGCUUCGGCUGCCCAACGUUGACUCAGAAUAACUAAGCUGAUCGCAUGGUCUUGUACCGGCGACGUGUCUUUCAAGUAUCUGCCUUAUCAACUUUCGAUGGUACUGUCAUUGACUACCAUGGUGGUGACGGGUAACGGAGGAUCAGGGUUCGACUCCGGAGAAGGGGCCUGAGAAAUGGCCACUACGUCUAAGGAUGGCAGCAGGCGCGCAAAUUACCCACUCUCAAAACAACUAGAGGAGGUAGUGACGAGAAAUAACGAGACCGUUCUCAACAGAGGCCGGUCAUCGGAAUGGGUACAAUUUAAACCCUUUAACGAGUAUCUAUGAGAGGGCAAGUCUGGUGCCACCAGCCGCGGUAAUUCCAGCUCUCAAAAUGCAUAUAAUUAUUGCUGCGGUUAAAAAGCUCGUAGUUGGAUCUGUGCCAGCAUGCCGGUCCAUCUUCGGAUGCGUACUGGUUCAUUGCCGGCUUUCCUGCAGUUUGUCGGCUCUGUGCCCUUCACUGGGCGCAGUUGUUCGGUGCUGCAAGAAUUACUUUGAACAAAUCAGAGUGCUCUAAACAGGCGUUUCGCUUGAAUGUUCGUGUAUGCUAUAAUAGAAGAUGGAUUUCAGCUUCUAUUUUAUUGGUCGUUAUAGCACUGAGAUAUGGGUGCCAGAAGACACACGUGGGCAUUUCGUAUUGCUACGUGAGAGUGAAAUAUACUUUUGUGGGACCAAAAA